RNAcentral lists this ribosomal RNA (305 nucleotides) under uncultured bacterium. RNAcentral describes it as "bacterial SSU rRNA". It matches the Rfam family "Bacterial small subunit ribosomal RNA", at positions 28 to 334 of the family's 1533-position model. The record is from RNAcentral.
GACGAACGCUGGCGGCGUGCCUAACACAUGCAAGUCGAACGGAGUGAUGAUUUCGGUUAUCACUUAGUGGCGAACGGGUGAGUAACGCGUGAGAAACCUGCCUUUCAGUGGGGGACAACAGUUGGAAACGACUGCUAAUACCGCAUAAUGUCAUUUGGGGGCAUCCCUGGAUGACCAAAGAUUUAUUGCUGAAAGAUGGUCUCGCGUCUGAUUAGCUGGUUGGUGAGGUAACGGCCCACCAAGGCGACGAUCAGUAGCCGACCUGAGAGGGUGAUCGGCCACAUUGGAACUGAGAAACGGUCCAA